GUCAGGCAUGGUGGCUCAUGCCUGUAAUCCUAGCACUUUGGGAGGCUGAGGCAGGAGGAUCACUUGAGCCCAGGAGUUUUGGGCUGCAGUGAGCUAUGAUCGUGCCACUGCACUCCAGCCUGAGCAACAGAGAAAGACUCUGUCUCUGAAAAAAUAAAAAUUGACCGGGUGAGGUGGCUCACGCCUGUAAUCCCAGCACUUUGGGAGGCCGAGGUGGGCAGAUCACCUGAGGUGAGGAGUUCAAGACCAGCCUGGCCAACAUGGUGAAACCUCGUCUGU
This 279-nucleotide small RNA is filed under the name Cercocebus atys (sooty mangabey). RNAcentral describes it as "Metazoan signal recognition particle RNA (ENSCATG00000021286.1)". The stretch from base 1 to 148 matches the Rfam family "Metazoan signal recognition particle RNA". Rfam says of the family: The signal recognition particle (SRP) is a universally conserved ribonucleoprotein. It is involved in the co-translational targeting of proteins to membranes. The record is from RNAcentral. Lineage: Eukaryota; Metazoa; Chordata; Mammalia; Primates; Cercopithecidae.